GUGCUCGCUUUGGCAGCACAUAUACUAAAACUGGAAUGAUACAGAGAAGAUUAGCAUGGCCCCUAUACAAGGAUGAAACUAAAAAAAACCAAAUGGGCUGGCAAUGU
Molecule: small nuclear RNA, 107 nt
Organism: Octodon degus (degu)
Lineage: Eukaryota; Metazoa; Chordata; Mammalia; Rodentia; Octodontidae
Source: Ensembl